AGAAAAAGUGUCCUCAUGUAAGACUAACACAGCGGCAAACAGAAGAAAAAAAAGAGGAAAAUACAAGGUAAACAAAAUUGGUUCAUAAAAAGCUACAAUGAAAUUAGACACUAAACUUUGAAUAAUAUAAAUUUGCAUUAAUUAGGCAUUGGAUUAAAUGCUGGACUUGCCUGGAAU
Pseudonaja textilis is the source of this 177-nucleotide non-coding RNA. Lineage: Eukaryota; Metazoa; Chordata; Lepidosauria; Squamata; Elapidae. The record is from RefSeq and is a predicted model, not a curated record.